Molecule: small RNA, 17 nt
Filed under: Pfiesteria piscicida
Lineage: Eukaryota; Dinophyceae; Peridiniales; Pfiesteriaceae
Description: partial trans-spliced leader sequence SL-like
Source: RNAcentral
ACAGAACAAGCCAAAAU